Molecule: non-coding RNA, 101 nt
Organism: Acanthosepion pharaonis
Lineage: Eukaryota; Metazoa; Mollusca; Cephalopoda; Sepiida; Sepiidae
Source: the annotation of a GenBank genome assembly
CGACGUUGAAAUACCCGUUCCCGUGGGGUCACCGAAGUUAAGCAAUGUCGAGCCUCGUCAGUACCUAGAUGGGUGACCGGUUAGUAAUUCCAGGUGCUGUG